This 2908-nucleotide ribosomal RNA is filed under the name human gut metagenome. Its description in RNAcentral is "bacterial LSU rRNA". The stretch from base 1 to 2564 matches the Rfam family "Bacterial large subunit ribosomal RNA". The record is from RNAcentral.
UAAAGCAAGAAAGGGCGUAUGGGGAAUGCCUAGGCACACUCCGGCGAAGAAGGACGCAGCAAACAGCGAAAUGCGACGGUGAGCGGUAAGCACGUGAAGAGCCGUCGAUAUCCGAAUGGGGGAACCCACACGGAGUCAUAUCCGUGUAUCACAUGUCGAAUACAUAGACAUGAUGAGGCGAGACGCAGGGAACUGAAACAUCUAAGUACCUGCAGGAAGAGAAAAUAAGAAUGAUUUUCUGAGUAGCGGCGAGCGAAAGGGAAAGAGCCCAAACCGAUUUUAGGAUCGGGGUAGUAGGAUCAUCGAUAAAUCUGACAGAGGAUCAUAGAGGAAUCACAUGGGAAGGUGAGCGAGAGAGGGUGAGAGCCCCGUACUCGAAAUGAGAGACUGGAGAGAGAUGACACCUGAGUAGGGCGGGACACGAGAAAUCCUGUCUGAAUCAGCCGGGACCAUCCGGCAAGGCUAAAUACGAGAGAGUGACCGAUAGUGAACCAGUACCGUGAGGGAAAGGUGAAAAGAACCCCGGGAGGGGAGUGAAAGAGAACCUGAAACCAUAUGCCUACAAGAAGUCAGAGCCCGUUAAAGGGUGAUGGCGUGCCUUUUGUAGAAUGAACCGGCGAGUUACUGUAUGGAGCGAGGUUAAGCAGGAUAUGCGGAGCCGAAGCGAAAGCGAGUCUUAAGAGGGCGAGAGUUGCAUGCAGUAGACCCGAAACCGGGUGAUCUAGCCAUGACCAGGUUGAAGUUGGGGUAAAACCCGAUGGAGGACCGAACCGACCCCCGUUGAAACGUUGGCGGAUGAGUUGUGGCUAGGGGUGAAAUUCCAAUCGAACCCGGAGAUAGCUGGUUCUCCCCGAAAUAGCUUUAGGGCUAGCGUCGAGAGAAGAGUUGCGUGAAGGUAGAGCACUGAAUAUGUGAUGGCCCCAUCUCGGGGUACUGAGCAUAAUCAAACUGCGAAUGUCACGCCAACAUGCUCGGCAGUCAGACAGCGGGUGAUAAGGUCCGUUGUCAAGAGGGAAACAGCCCAGACCAUCAGCUAAGGUCCCAAAAUGUAUGCUAAGUGGAAAAGGAUGUGGAGAUGUACAGACAACUAGGAGGUUGGCUCAGAAGCAGCCAUCCUUUAAAGAGUGCGUAACAGCUCACUAGUCGAAUGACUCUGCGCCGAUAAUUUACCGGGGCUAAGCAUACUACCGAAGCUAUGGAUCCCAAGGGAUGGUAGGGGAGCGUUCCAUGAACGGAGAAGUACGACCGAAAGGACGUGUGGAGAUCAUGGAAGAGAGAAUGCCGGUGUGAGUAGCGGAACGUGGGUGAGAAUCCCACGCACCGAAAACCCAAGGUUUCCAGAGGAAGGUUCGUCCGCUCUGGGUAAGUCGGGACCUAAGGCGAGGCCGAAAGGCGUAGUCGAUGGACAACAGGUAGAGAUUCCUGUACCCGUAUAUAUGUGAAGGAAUGACGGAGAGAGGAAGCUGCAGCCAGCGGCUGGAAGAGCUGGUGCAAGCGAGAUAUCGGGAUGGCAGGCAAAUCCACCAUCCGAAACGAGAAGGCGUGAAGCGUACGGAAAGCUACGGCGAGUACGGAAGGCAGUGGAGGAACUUCCAAGAAAAGUUUCUAACGUUAAGUAUAUAUGGCCCGUACCGAAAAUGGACACACAUGGGUGAGGAGAGAAUCCUAAGGUGAGCGAGAGAACUAUAGCUAAGGAACUCUGCAAAAUGACUCCGUAACUUAGGGAGAAGGAGUGCUCAUAGAGAUAUGAGCCGCAGUGAAACGGCCCAAGCGACUGUUUACCAAAAACACAGCUCUCUGCUAAGCCGCAAGGCGAAGUAUAGGGGGUGACGCCUGCCCGGUGCUGGAAGGUUAAGGGGAGGGGUUAACGCAAGUGAAGCCCUGAACUGAAGCCCCAGUAAACGGCGGCCGUAACUAUAACGGUCCUAAGGUAGCGAAAUUCCUUGUCAGGUAAGUUCUGACCCGCACGAAAGGCGUAACGAUUUGGGCGCUGUCUCAGCUGUAGACUCGGUGAAGUCUUAGUACCUGUGAAGAUGCAGGUUACCCGCGACUAGACGGAAAGACCCCAUGGAGCUUCACUGCAGGUUGAUAUUGGGAUUUGAUGCAGCAUGUACAGGAUAGGUAGGAGGCAAAGAGAUGGAUACGCCAGUAUUCAAGGAGCCGCUGUUGGGAUACUACCCCUGUUGUAUUGGAUUUCUAACCGGACGACGUAGAGCCGUUGACGGGACAGUGUCAGUCGGGCAGUUUGACUGGGGCGGUCGCCUCCCAAAGAGUAACGGAGGCGCCCAAAGAUACCCUCAGCUUGGAUGGAAACCAAGCGCAGAGUGCAAAGGCAAAAGGGUGUUUGACUGCGAGACCCACAAGUCGAGCAGGGACGAAAGUCGGGCUUAGUGAUCCGGCGGUGCUGAAUGGAAAGGCCGUUACAUUUACGCCCUAUGUGAAGAUUCUUUCGGAAAUAUCUGGUUGUGUGACAACGGACUUUUCAAAUACGAUAAAACAACCCGCAACUGUACGGCCUGCCUCCCUCCUGCUGACGAACCGAUAACCUAUAUCCAUUUUAUUACCGAAAUACAACCGGGUAUAUUGCUCAUCGGUUCCAAUAGCGGACUGACACAAUAUAAUCUGGCGGAGAACACUUUUUCUACGAUCGGAUACAAUGUUCUUUUUCCGCAAGGAUUAAAUGACGGGAUUGUCUAUUCGAUUCUGAAAGACCGGGAAGGAGGUAUCUGGGUGGGAACGAACGCCGGAGGUAUCAAUUAUCUUACGCCGGGUACCAAUUGGUUCAAUACGUUCUGCUAUACACCGGGCAAAACAAGUGCCCCGGGGAAAGUCAUCAAUUCUUUUUGUGAAAACACCGACGGGACGAUAUGGAUCGGAACAGAUAAUAAAGGGCUUUGGAACUACAACC